GCUGCGACUGUUGUUUAAUCUUUUUAUAUCAUUCAGGCUAUUAUUGUUGUCUUUUAACUUUUUCCUAUUGUUUAUCACAUCACAGAUGCUGUUAUGAGCAUGACAUGUGCUAUCAAUCACUAGUGAAUAGGGAUAUAUGUGUUGUUGGUGCCUGGUGGUGGACGAGUUACAAACGUGAUGGUUGUAAUGGCUGUGGUAAGUUUAGAGACAUUCACUUCUGAAGCUCUCUAUCAAUUUGUAUGUCCUGGUUAAAAUAUGGUACAUGGUAAAACUGAUUUUAUGAUAUAUAUAUAUAUAUAUAAAAUCACCAAUGAUUCUAUAAAUUUCAGCAUCAAGCAACAGUGGUUGUGGUGCCGAACUCUGUUAUUGUGAUCAGACAGCAGCAAGAUGUUUCAGCAGAGCAUUAUACAACACAUCUCACGAAAACUACGACCAAGACAAAUGCCAGUGAACAACAACAAUGAUAACACUAAUAUAACACAUAAUGUUCAAGUUUUCAAGAAUUAUUAGAAAAUGAAAUAUGUAGUGAUAGUACCAUGGUUUAAAAUACAUUCCCAUGAAAAUGAUGUAGAACUAUGAACCGUAUAAUUAUAUCUUAGUUGCAAUGACGGAAUGACGGGAACGCACUGAAAGAUAAGUGCAAAAAGUUACUACAUCUUUCGAGGUCACUGUGUUGUGAUGUGCAAAAGUUAUUUGUUUUCUGGCUGGAUACAUCCGUUUCAACAAUAUAAAUUGUAAUAUUAAUUAACUAUAUAUUAUUAUAACUUAUGCAUGCAUACAUGCACUGAUCAUGAAACAACAGUCAAGUUCUAUCUUCUGAAAAUAAAAGUCUUGUUCAUA
Non-coding RNA from Paramuricea clavata, 840 nucleotides. The record is from the annotation of a GenBank genome assembly. NCBI's taxonomy places the organism in Eukaryota, Metazoa, Cnidaria, Anthozoa, Malacalcyonacea, Plexauridae.